Neopsephotus bourkii (Bourke's parrot) is the source of this 810-nucleotide long non-coding RNA. RefSeq lists it as uncharacterized. The record is from RefSeq and is a predicted model, not a curated record. NCBI's taxonomy places the organism in Eukaryota, Metazoa, Chordata, Aves, Psittaciformes, Psittacidae. The transcript is spliced from 4 exons.
UGAUUUAGAUGGAGGACUUGAAGAAGAACAGAACCCCCUUGGCUUUAGUCACUGGCCCAUGGAACACCAAUGGAUGCGGCUCCUGUACAUGGCACAGAGCUGGUCUGCUUGACUCCAGGGACAGGUAUCCACCUCAUGUGCUGAUCACUGCCAUUGGUAUUACUGGAGAUGUUGCUAGCAAAGUUGAAGGAGGCUUCAGAGUGUCCUUCAUGCGACAGGAUCUGGACACAUGAGUAUUAACUGGAAGAAGCCUUCUAUGCCCCACCAAAAGCCAAGGUUCCUCCAAGGAAGAUUUUACAAAAUCAGAAGCAAUGGAAAAGGAGGAAGAAAAAUAACUCCAGGAUGAUUUUAGAUGAGCAGUUAUUAAUGCUGAAAAUUCCUUUAUUAACCCCUCCAAACCUGCUCUGCAGGGAGGGGAAACUUCUAAAGAUAACUGAAAUACAUUAAAGGGGCAAACUCCACAGAUUGUGUGGAAAGCUGUGACACGUCAGAUGAAUCCCUAUGGACUAUCUUCAUGUUUACGCUGCUUUUAUGUGAAGUAACUGGCCUGUCCCCCACAGAGCAGCUCUGCUUUCUAGGAGUGCUGAAUCUGGAGCUGAGUGACUCAGUCUGAAAGCCGGAUCAGUUUUAUGUGUCCUCUAAUCCCCCUCAGACUACUUGUGUCAAUGAAGACUACUGCUUCGUUAAUGCAGAAGCCAAGAACGCAUAUGUUCCAGCCAUGCUGUUUCAUUCAGUCUCCUACCCGCUGCUUUGACAACACUGCUAGAACCUUAGAGCUAAGGAGAGCUCCAGUUUUUGCUUUUGAUAAGU